Molecule: ribosomal RNA, 253 nt
Filed under: uncultured organism
Description: partial 16S ribosomal RNA
Rfam family: Bacterial small subunit ribosomal RNA
Source: RNAcentral
UACGGAGGGUGCGAGCGUUAAUCGGAAUUAUUGGGCGUAAAGGGUGCGUAGGCGGGUGAAUAAGUUAUGUGUGAAAUGCCUGAGCUCAACUUAGGUUGUGCAUGUAAGACUGUUUAUCUGGAGUAUAGGAGAGGGUAGUGGAAUUUCCGGUGUAGCGGUGAAAUGCGUAGAGAUCGGAAGGAACACUGGUGGCGAAGGCGGCUACCUGGCCUAAUACUGACGCUGAGGCACGAAAGCAUGGGUAGCAAACAGG